GACGGAGGGUGCUAGCGUUGUUCGGAAUUACUGGGCGUAAAGGGCUCGUAGGCGGCCAACUAAGUCGGACGUGAAAUCCCUCAGCUUAACUGGGGAACUGCGUCUGAUACUGGAUGGCUUGGAUUUGGGAGAGGGAUGCGGAAUUCCAGGUGUAGCGGUGAAAUGCGUAGAUAUCUGGAGGAACACCGGUGGCGAAGGCGGCAUCCUGGACCAACAUUGACGCUGAGGAGCGAAAGCCAGGGGAGCAAACGGG
This 253-nucleotide ribosomal RNA is filed under the name uncultured bacterium. RNAcentral's name for it is "partial 16S ribosomal RNA". It matches the Rfam family "Bacterial small subunit ribosomal RNA", at positions 524 to 776 of the family's 1533-position model. The record is from RNAcentral.